This 73-nucleotide transfer RNA is filed under the name Pirellulaceae bacterium. RNAcentral describes it as "tRNA-Ala". It matches the Rfam family "tRNA". Rfam says of the family: Transfer RNA (tRNA) molecules are approximately 80 nucleotides in length. Their secondary structure includes four short double-helical elements and three loops (D, anti-codon, and T loops). Lineage: Bacteria; Pseudomonadati; Planctomycetota; Planctomycetia; Pirellulales; Pirellulaceae. The record is from RNAcentral.
GGGGAUGUAGCUCAACUGGGAGAGCACCUGCUUUGCACGCAGGGGGUUGUCGGUUCGAUUCCGGUCAUCUCCA